Long non-coding RNA from Raphanus sativus (radish), 967 nucleotides. RefSeq lists it as uncharacterized. The transcript has 2 exons. The record is from RefSeq and is a predicted model, not a curated record. Lineage: Eukaryota; Viridiplantae; Streptophyta; Magnoliopsida; Brassicales; Brassicaceae.
CAUCAUUAACGGGGUUGCUUAAUCCGGUGCUUAGCUUAAUUUUGAUUUAAAAAAAAAAGAAAAUUAAUGUUAAAGGCAAGCGUUGACGCUUAAUUAAGCGUCACAAGAUCAGGCGCUUGUGGACACGUGUCAUAAGGACAAAGUCUCUAUCUCUCUCAUCUCUUUCUCUCUUUCGUGUUCUUUCUCUCAUCUCUUCCUCUCUCACGAUUUGUGAUCUCUUGCCGCUGGAUUCAAUCGGCUAUUCCGCCUCUCCUUAUUGAUUUCUCUUCGAUGAUGACACAAUCGGCGUCUCUCUCUCGACGAAAUCGUCUUCUCUCGACAUCGAUGCCGCCUCUCUCACGGUGGGUGAAGAAACAGAGCCUCCUUCCUCCAUUCAAGAUGCCUCUGCUCGGGUUUGUCCUCUCUCUCGUUCCUCUCUUCCAAAUCGUUGGUUCCCAUCUCCUCGACGAUGACGAGGCAAAUCAUGGUGGCUCUCCUAUCGUGAGUCGUCGCUUUCGCCAAAAGAAAAACAAAAUAGCUGAGGCAUCACCUGCUUUGAAGCCUGUAUUUACUAAGGUUAGUGAGCUGAGACCACAUGAACCAAUGGUUUCUCACUGAACGUGAAAGUUAUCAGCACAAAAAUGGUGAUGCAAAGAGGAGGAGGAGGUCGUCCCAGUGGUCCCAACACAUAGGAACCUUAAGCUUUCUCUCUCUCUCGCAGUCUCACAGUCCUUGUGGGUGAUGAGCUUCAUCACUCUGGUUGGAACUCUUGCAGCUCUUCCCACGGUGAUGCUUCUGCUGAUCGACGUUUUCUCAUCUUACCAUCCCUUAUUUAAAAUAUUCUUCAGCCUUUAUUAGUUUUAUAACUGAAUGUUGACUUCAUUUAGUGAUCUGUAAGUUCACAAGUCAUCUUGUCUUCUAUCCUUCUCUAUUUAACAUCAUCUUUUCUUCUCUCAUUCUCUAUUUAAAUCAACCAAUUUUUGAUAUU